RNAcentral lists this ribosomal RNA (496 nucleotides) under uncultured bacterium. RNAcentral's name for it is "partial 16S ribosomal RNA". It matches the Rfam family "Bacterial small subunit ribosomal RNA", at positions 28 to 507 of the family's 1533-position model. The record is from RNAcentral.
GAUGAACGCUGGCGGCGUGCCUAAUACAUGCAAGUCGAGCGAACAGACGAGGAGCUUGCUCCUCUGACGUUAGCGGCGGACGGGUGAGUAACACGUGGAUAACCUACCUAUAAGACUGGGAUAACUUCGGGAAACCGGAGCUAAUACCGGAUAAUAUAUUGAACCGCAUGGUUCAAUAGUGAAAGACGGUUUUGCUGUCACUUAUAGAUGGAUCCGCGCCGCAUUAGCUAGUUGGUAAGGUAACGGCUUACCAAGGCAACGAUGCGUAGCCGACCUGAGAGGGUGAUCGGCCACACUGGAACUGAGACACGGUCCUGACUCCUACGGGAGGCAGCAGUAGGGAAUCUUCCGCAAUGGGCGAAAGCCUGACGGAGCAACGCCGCGUGAGUGAUGAAGGUCUUCGGAUCGUAAAACUCUGUUAUUAGGGAAGAACAAAUGUGUAAGUACUAUGCACGUCUUGACGGUACCUAAUCAGAAAGCCACGGCUAACUACGUG